UCCGAAUUGGUGUAGUGGCUAACAUUUGACGCUCUCAUGCCAGAACCGUCAAGCCCGGGGUUCGAUUCCCCGAUUCGGAG
RNAcentral lists this transfer RNA (80 nucleotides) under Nemania sp. FL0916. RNAcentral's name for it is "tRNA-Glu". It matches the Rfam family "tRNA". From Rfam's summary of the family: Transfer RNA (tRNA) molecules are approximately 80 nucleotides in length. The record is from RNAcentral. Lineage: Eukaryota; Fungi; Ascomycota; Sordariomycetes; Xylariales; Xylariaceae.